This 1143-nucleotide long non-coding RNA is filed under the name Homo sapiens (human). RNAcentral's name for it is "non-protein coding lnc-CDYL-1:4". The record is from RNAcentral. Lineage: Eukaryota; Metazoa; Chordata; Mammalia; Primates; Hominidae.
AGGAAAUGUUCUUCCUUGAUGCUCUGAGCUCUCUAAGAAGUUACCACAAAACCAAACCCAUCAGAAGUUUGCAGGACGUCCUUGUUUAGAGCUGGGAAAUAAACCACGAAACAGCGCAAAGGAGAGUCCAGGCCUGCCAAUGCUUCCGCGAACUCCUCGCCCCGACCUCAUCCUUCUCCAGCUCCUACCUGCAGGCCUCAGGCCUCCUGACCUCCAGGCUCCUUACCCUCCCGCUGGCCUCUGCUCUACACUCAUCUUUGUGCCCUGCUUCCAAUCAUGCCAGGCCUCGGGGUCCCUGUCUCUAACUUCACCAUGAGACUCAGGUGCUUCUCUACACUCCACCCUCUCCAACACUGUUUGGAAUCUCAGGCUUGGUCCCAAUCCUAUGGGCUAACUUUGAAAAGACCGCUGUUCAUAAGGAGAGAGAAAGGAGGAAGAGAUGAGAAAGGAAGACAGAGAAAGAAACUCUAUGAUCACGGUUUUUCCAAAAUUCAUGGUUAAAUUAGAACUUACUAUGUGCAAAUAUAGAAGCACGGGUCCACAGAGUUCCAGAGAAUGAAUGCUGACGACUAAGCACCAGCCUCCACUCCCUGCCCCAUAGUGAGUAUCCCUCCUCUGUGUGCUCAUGCUGUGAAUCCCCCCCAUUCUACCACUUCUCCCCUCAUCACUGGCUUGCUGUAGGAUCAGAAGUUCCUUAAGAACAAGAACCUUCUCCCAGUGUAUCCCCAGCACCUAAUACAGAAGGUAAUAAGGAGGAGGCAUCUGCUAAACGCUUGUUGAAGGAGUGAAAUUGAGAGACCAGGAAGGGCCUGCAGGCAUUGUGGUGAGCCUGCCUGUUGUCCACGUGGCUGCAGCAAGCAAACAUGGGUUUUCCUUGGAAGGACUGUGGGCCAUCAACCCAUUAAUUGCCGAGUUGCUUCUAUCAGGGCAAGGCUGUGGAAUCCUGUUAUCCUAGACAAUGAGGUACAGGGUGCAAGCAGAUCUGUGUGCUGCUGUCUUCCGGUAAACGGACCAAGUUCUCACUUCCCAUCCUCCUCCCCAGUCUCACCCACCCGUGCUCCCAAGAGAGCAAUUCAUCAUGUCAGUGUCUGGUGUUUUCUUGAAGGCCUGUGCUAAAUAAAGUGGAUUGUUUAUAAAGUGGGA